UCCCGCUGGACGAGGCCGUCAGCCGGGUCGAGCCCGGCAAGGCCCUGCAGGGCAACCUCGACCCCGCGAUCCUGUUCGCGCCGUGGGAG
Molecule: transfer RNA, 89 nt
Filed under: Mycobacterium tuberculosis
Lineage: Bacteria; Bacillati; Actinomycetota; Actinomycetes; Mycobacteriales; Mycobacteriaceae
Description: tRNA-Ser(cga)
Source: RNAcentral